UACGGGGGGGGCAAGCGUUGUUCGGAAUUACUGGGCGUAAAGGGCUCGUAGGUGGCCAACUAAGUCAGACGUGAAAUCCCUCGGCUUAACCGGGGAACUGCGUCUGAUACUGGAUGGCUUGAGUUUGGGAGAGGGAUGCGGAAUUCCAGGUGUAACGGUGAAAUGCGUAGAUAUCUGGAGGAACACCGGUGGCGAAGGCGGCAUCCUGGACCAACACUGACACUGAUGAGCGAAAGCCGGGGGAGCAAACGGG
RNAcentral lists this ribosomal RNA (253 nucleotides) under uncultured bacterium. RNAcentral describes it as "partial 16S ribosomal RNA". It matches the Rfam family "Bacterial small subunit ribosomal RNA", at positions 524 to 776 of the family's 1533-position model. The record is from RNAcentral.